AGUGAACGCUGGCGGUAGGCCUAACACAUGCAAGUCGAACGGCAGCACAGUAAGAGCUUGCUCUUACGGGUGGCGAGUGGCGGACGGGUGAGGAAUACAUCGGAAUCUACUUUUUCGUGGGGGAUAACGUAGGGAAACUUACGCUAAUACCGCAUACGACCUACGGGUGAAAGCAGGGGAUCUUCGGACCUUGCGCGAUUGAAUGAGCCGAUGUCGGAUUAGCUAGUUGGCGGGGUAAAGGCCCACCAAGGCGACGAUCCCUAGCUGGUCUGAGAGGAUGAUCAGCCACACUGGAACUGAGACACGGUCCAGACUCCUACGGGAGGCAGCAGUGGGGAAUAUUGGACAAUGGGCGCAAGCCUGAUCCAGCCAUACCGCGUGGGUGAAGAAGGCCUUCGGGUUGUAAAGCCCUUUUGUUGGGAAAGAAAAGCAGCAGGUUAAUACCCCGCUGUUCUGACGGUACCCAAAGAAUAAGCACCGGCUAACUUCGUG
This 492-nucleotide ribosomal RNA is filed under the name uncultured bacterium. Its description in RNAcentral is "partial 16S ribosomal RNA". It matches the Rfam family "Bacterial small subunit ribosomal RNA", at positions 29 to 507 of the family's 1533-position model. The record is from RNAcentral.